Molecule: long non-coding RNA, 657 nt
Organism: Xenopus laevis (African clawed frog)
Lineage: Eukaryota; Metazoa; Chordata; Amphibia; Anura; Pipidae
Exons: 2
Source: RefSeq, a predicted model, not a curated record
GUAAAUGGCAAAAGUGCUCAGAAUAUCGCCCUCAUUCAUUUUAAAUUCACUUAUUUUUAAGGUUUACUUGUCCUUUAACCUAUUAAAUAUGUCACUUUCAUUAAAGGAGAAGGAAAGUCUUAUGCAGCGUGCCCCAUAUUCCGACGGUUUUGGUUUCCUCUUUUUCAGAAAGUGACUUUUAUUUUCCAUCUCCAAUAUUGACAUCUCAGUAUCAUAAGGUGUUUUAGAAGAACGAGCUGACCCAUUGCACUUCAUUUAUCCGUUCGUAACCCUUACAAACUGACACGUACACAUACGCACGUGUUUUUCUAAGAAUACUAUAAUGAGAAUUUCGCGUGACAAUCUCCUCUUGUCUUCCUGGGAGGAAGCGGGAGGGGAGGUAAAGGGGAAAAUAGAGCAGGAAGUUUUGGUGAGAAGGUUCACGUUCCGCUAAUUUAUCUUUUAUUUUUCUCAGUCUAAAAUCAAUUGCAUUUGUCUGUGCUCAGUUUGUCAUUGUGCUUGUGACCUGUACUCCUGUGUGCUAUAUAUUUGCCUAUAACGUCUGCUGCAUUUUCCACUGCAUGUCUGCAUCAUUGGUAUCAUCUGUAUCUCAUAAUGCAUAAAUAAAUCUCUCGACAGUUUAUAUCAGCUACCUAAUAAACCAUUACAUUAUUUCUA